RNAcentral lists this transfer RNA (77 nucleotides) under Sporotomaculum syntrophicum. RNAcentral describes it as "tRNA-Pro". It matches the Rfam family "tRNA". Rfam says of the family: Transfer RNA (tRNA) molecules are approximately 80 nucleotides in length. Their secondary structure includes four short double-helical elements and three loops (D, anti-codon, and T loops). Lineage: Bacteria; Bacillati; Bacillota; Clostridia; Eubacteriales; Desulfallaceae. The record is from RNAcentral. RNAcentral also lists the same sequence under 1 other name.
CGGGGCGUAGCGCAGUUUGGUAGCGCGUACGGUUCGGGACCGUAAGGUCGCAGGUUCAAGUCCUGUCGCCCCGACCA